Molecule: non-coding RNA, 202 nt
Organism: Oryza barthii
Lineage: Eukaryota; Viridiplantae; Streptophyta; Magnoliopsida; Poales; Poaceae
Source: Rfam
UUUAAGUGCAACCAUGAGUUUUUGCGCCCAACUUUUAUUGUUUAUUUUAUUUAAUUUUUUAUAAUUAAUAUUUUUAUUAUUAUGAGAUGAUAAAACAUAAAUAGUACUUUGCUCGUGACUUAUAUUUUUAAUUUUUUUAAAAAAAAUUUCGAAUAAGACGGACGAUUAAAGUUGGGCUCGAAAAAUCAUGGCUGUAGUAGCU